UGUGAUCAUCAAACCACAGGGCUGGGC
RNAcentral lists this non-coding RNA (27 nucleotides) under Mus musculus (house mouse). Lineage: Eukaryota; Metazoa; Chordata; Mammalia; Rodentia; Muridae. The record is from RNAcentral.